GACGGAGGGUGCAAGCGUUGCUCGGAAUCACUGGGCGUAAAGGGUGCGUAGGCGGUCUCGCAAGUCUGGCGUGAAAGCCCAAGGCUCAGCCUUGGAAGUGCGCUCGAAACGGCGAGGCUGGAGUGCCGGGAGGGGAAAGUGGAAUUCCUGGUGUAGAGGUGAAAUUCGUAGAUAUCAGGAGGAACACCGGUGGCGAAGGCGGUUCUCUGGGAAUAUCCUGACGCUGAGGAGCGAAAGUGUGGGGAGCGAACAGG
RNAcentral lists this ribosomal RNA (254 nucleotides) under uncultured bacterium. RNAcentral describes it as "partial 16S ribosomal RNA". It matches the Rfam family "Bacterial small subunit ribosomal RNA", at positions 524 to 776 of the family's 1533-position model. The record is from RNAcentral.